Halocaridina rubra (Hawaiian volcano shrimp) is the source of this 73-nucleotide non-coding RNA. The record is from the annotation of a GenBank genome assembly. Lineage: Eukaryota; Metazoa; Arthropoda; Malacostraca; Decapoda; Atyidae.
ACCUACUGUGGUGUAGUUGGUAGCACCUCAGGUUAGUAAUUACAAGUCCUAGGUUCAAGUCCCAGUCGGGGUA